This 484-nucleotide ribosomal RNA is filed under the name uncultured bacterium. RNAcentral describes it as "partial 16S ribosomal RNA". It matches the Rfam family "Bacterial small subunit ribosomal RNA", at positions 30 to 507 of the family's 1533-position model. The record is from RNAcentral.
AUUGAACGCUGGCGGCAGGCCUAACACAUGCAAGUCGAGCGGAUGAAGUGAGCUUGCUCCUGGAUUCAGCGGCGGACGGGUGAGUAAUGCCUAGGAAUCUGCCUGGUAGUGGGGGAUAACGUCCGGAAACGGGCGCUAAUGCCGCAUACGUCCUGAGGGAGAAAGUGGGGGAUCUUCGGACCUCACGCUAUCAGAUGAGCCUAGGUCGGAUUAGCUAGUUGGUGGGGUAAAGGCCUACCAAGGCGACGAUCCGUAACUGGUCUGAGAGGAUGAUCAGUCACACUGGAACUGAGACACGGUCCAGACUCCUACGGGAGGCAGCAGUGGGGAAUAUUGGACAAUGGGCGAAAGCCUGAUCCAGCCAUGCCGCGUGUGUGAAGAAGGUCUUCGGAUUGUAAAGCACUUUAAGUUGGGAGGAAGGGCAGUAAGUUAAUACCUUGCUGUUUUGACGUUACCAACAGAAUAAGCACCGGCUAACUUCGUG